AAGGAUCAUUAUCGAAUAAACAUUUGAUAGGCUGUUGCUGGCCCUUCUAGGGUAGUGUGCACGCUUGUCAUUUUUUUGUUUAUUUUUCCACCUGUGCACCCUUUUUGUAGACCUAGAGAAAGCAAAUUGUCUUGAGCAAUCAGGAUAGGGUUUGGGGAUUGCUGUGUCAGCUUUCCCUUGUCUCUCUAGGUUCUAUGUUACUCACAUACUCCUACGAAUGUAAUAGAAUGUUGAUCUGGGUCUUUGAUGCCCAUAAAGUUAUAUACAACUUUCAGCAAUGGAUCUCUUGGCUCUCGCAUCGAUGAAGAACGCAGCUGAGCCAUCGAUGUGGAAGUAAAAGUCGUAACAAG
This 350-nucleotide unclassified non-coding RNA is filed under the name uncultured fungus. RNAcentral's name for it is "partial contains 18S rRNA, ITS1, 5.8S rRNA, ITS2 and 28S rRNA". The stretch from base 267 to 350 matches the Rfam family "5.8S ribosomal RNA", at positions 1 to 96 of the family's 154-position model. Lineage: Eukaryota; Fungi. The record is from RNAcentral.